GUUUCUCAUUGGUUGUUAUUGUCAGUGGAUGAAAUAUAAAGAGUUCAGUCGUGAAACAAUCUCCCGCACGCGCUCGUUUCCUCACGCGCACGAGAGAUCGUUCAAAAACAAAUAUGUUCACUGAAGGUGGAAUGUAUUGCCCUACCGAGACGGCAAUGUGCCGCUGGCUCGGAGGAGCAAACAUUUGAAUUUCGUAAUGAUCCAACCGCAGGUUCACCUACGGUUA
RNAcentral lists this unclassified non-coding RNA (226 nucleotides) under uncultured fungus. RNAcentral describes it as "sequence contains ITS1". The record is from RNAcentral. Lineage: Eukaryota; Fungi.